CGAAACCAAAAGUUACUCUUCUAUAAUCUUCCUAUAUUGUAGCUAGUUCAGUCACAUUGUAAUGUUGGAAUCAUGUAAGGUUACUACUUUGCUAGUAGAUCACAAUUAGUAAUAUAAUAUUAGCAGGAAACUAA
Long non-coding RNA from Trifolium pratense (red clover), 134 nucleotides. RefSeq lists it as uncharacterized. The record is from RefSeq and is a predicted model, not a curated record. Lineage: Eukaryota; Viridiplantae; Streptophyta; Magnoliopsida; Fabales; Fabaceae. The transcript has 2 exons.